GACGAACGCUGGCGGCGUGCUUAACACAUGCAAGUCGAACGGAAAGGCUCUGCUUUUGUGGGGUGCUCGAGUGGCGAACGGGUGAGUAACACGUGAGUAACCUGCCCUGGACUUUGGGAUAACUUCAGGAAACUGGGGCUAAUACCGGAUAGGAGCUCCUGCUGCAUGGUGGGGGUUGGAAAGUUUCGGCGGUUGGGGAUGGACUCGCGGCUUAUCAGCUUGUUGGUGGGGUAGUGGCUUACCAAGGCUUUGACGGGUAGCCGGGCUGAGAGGGUGACCGGCCACAUUGGGACUGAGAUACGGCCCAGACUCCUACGGGAGGCAGCAGUGGGGAAUAUUGCACAAUGGGCGGAAGCCUGAUGCAGCACCGCCGCGUGCGGGAUGACGGCCUUCGGGUUGUAAACCGCUUUCGCCUGUGACGAAGCGUGAGUGACGGUAAUGGGUAAAGAAGCACCGGCUAACUACGUG
Molecule: ribosomal RNA, 468 nt
Filed under: uncultured bacterium
Lineage: Bacteria
Description: partial 16S ribosomal RNA
Rfam family: Bacterial small subunit ribosomal RNA
Source: RNAcentral